This 425-nucleotide ribosomal RNA is filed under the name uncultured bacterium. RNAcentral describes it as "bacterial SSU rRNA". It matches the Rfam family "Bacterial small subunit ribosomal RNA", at positions 356 to 773 of the family's 1533-position model. The record is from RNAcentral.
GGGGAAUAUUGCACAAUGGGCGCAAGCCUGAUGCAGCCAUGCCGCGUGUAUGAAGAAGGCCUUCGGGUUGUAAAGUACUUUCAGCGGGGAGGAAGGCGAUGGGGUUAAUAACCGCGUCGAUUGACGUUACCCGCAGAAGAAGCACCGGCUAACUCCGUGCCAGCAGCCGCGGUAAUACGGAGGGUGCAAGCGUUAAUCGGAAUUACUGGGCGUAAAGCGCACGCAGGCGGUCUGUUAAGUCAGAUGUGAAAUCCCCGGGCUUAACCUGGGAACUGCAUUUGAAACUGGCAGGCUUGAGUCUUGUAGAGGGGGGUAGAAUUCCAGGUGUAGCGGUGAAAUGCGUAGAGAUCUGGAGGAAUACCGGUGGCGAAGGCGGCCCCCUGGACAAAGACUGACGCUCAGGUGCGAAAGCGUGGGGAGCAAAC